UACGUAGGGUGCGAGCGUUAAUCGGAAUUACUGGGCGUAAAGCGUGCGUAGGCGGUUCGUUAAGUUCGUUGUGAAAGCCCCGGGCUCAACCUGGGAAUGGCAAUGGAAACUGGCGGGCUGGAGUAUGGCAGAGGGGGGUGGAAUUCCGCGUGUAGCGGUGAAAUGCGUAGAUAUCAGGAGGAACACCGGUGGCGAAGGCGCUCAUCUGGCCCAAUACUGACGCUGAGGCGCGAAAGCGUGGGGAGCGAACAGG
RNAcentral lists this ribosomal RNA (253 nucleotides) under uncultured bacterium. RNAcentral's name for it is "partial 16S ribosomal RNA". It matches the Rfam family "Bacterial small subunit ribosomal RNA", at positions 524 to 776 of the family's 1533-position model. The record is from RNAcentral.